Molecule: ribosomal RNA, 109 nt
Filed under: Pelobates cultripes (western spadefoot toad)
Lineage: Eukaryota; Metazoa; Chordata; Amphibia; Anura; Pelobatidae
Source: RNAcentral
GCCUACGGCCAAACCACCCUGAACACGCCUGAUCUCGGAAGCUAAGCAGGGUCGGGCCUGGUUAGUACCUGGAUGGGAGACCGCCUGGGAAUACCAGGUGUUGUAGGCU